GGAAGAUGCUCUUUUAUUUGGUGGGUUUAGUUUUUGCUAUGGUAGGGGCUAGCUAUGCUGCAGUUCCCCUGUACAGAAGAUUCUGCCAAGCCACGGGAUAUGGAGGUACAAUUCAACGCCGGGAGAGUGUUGAAGAAAAGAUUGCCCGACACGAGAAAGAUGGAAGAGUUACUUCCAGGGAGAUUGCAGUACAAUUCAAUGCUGAUGUAGCAGACGGGAUGCCUUGGAAGUUUACUCCAACACAGCGUGAGGUAAGAGUAAAACCAGGAGAGAGCGCUCUAGCGUUUUACACUGCUGAAAAUCGAAGUUCGACUCCUAUUACAGGUGUAUCAACAUACAAUGUGACCCCCAUGAAGGCUGCUGUAUAUU
Molecule: unclassified non-coding RNA, 369 nt
Filed under: Hevea brasiliensis (rubber tree)
Lineage: Eukaryota; Viridiplantae; Streptophyta; Magnoliopsida; Malpighiales; Euphorbiaceae
Source: RNAcentral